Molecule: long non-coding RNA, 955 nt
Organism: Brassica napus (rape)
Lineage: Eukaryota; Viridiplantae; Streptophyta; Magnoliopsida; Brassicales; Brassicaceae
Exons: 2
Source: RefSeq, a predicted model, not a curated record
UUCGAUUUUCAAUGCAAAAUUUAUUAAUUUUAUGCAAAAUUUAUUUUCUAUUGGUUGAAAUAUGGUUAGGUGUAUAGGUAGUAGUGUUUUUUUAUAGGAAAUGUACAAAAUUAAUUGUUUUCUUAAUCCGUGUGCCGAAACCUAAAACGACAUUUAUAAUGAUACAGAGGGAUUAUUAUUUUUUGAGAUUUAAUUAGAUAAAACUCUUGAUAUUGAUAACCUAACCGAUGAUAUAUGUCAUAAUCAUUAUUCUUUCUCAGGUUUGCUGUUAAAAAAUUAAAGUAUGUAUGGUAUGAUGAGAAAACAACGUUAUUAUCUUGAAAAAAUUGAAACCUCAUCGACUUUUCACAUUAUGUCGAUCUUGGUGUAUUUUUUUCUCCGAAACCUCAUAAAAACGAGACAUAUGCAUGUUCUUCUUUUUGUAACCCUCCUCUUUUCUUCGGAAGAGACUCGCACCACCAACGCGUAACAAUAACUAAAUCUUGCUGUGAAUCUUGUGAAUCAGCUUCUUCAGCGGCUUCGAGAUGUAUUCGCCUUAUGAUGAUAGUGACUCUUCAGUUGAAAGCCAGAUCCUUCUGAUGCUUGGAGCUGUGACGGUAAGUAUUGGCGCAGGUCUGAUAUUUUAUUGCGUAAUUAGAUUAUUAAGAAUGUAUCGUUCUACUACUCAAUCUCCGGUGCCAAAUGCUGGAGACAUAGAGUUAGGACAUCAAGAAGUACAACUAGCUCCUGUGCUAACCGGGCCUCGUAGUCUGGUGGUAAAGGAACCUCGGCUGAGGUGCCCGCCACCCGAGUUCGAGCCCCGGCCACGAGGGGUAUUUACAUGGGAUGCCUCUCGCCCUCCAGACCACUUCGCGUAACCAGGGGCCCUUAAGUGGACGCUUAAAAAUCCUGUAAUGGCUUGGGCUUAGGCCCGGUGGGCUAGUCGAUCACGCAAAGUGGUCGGAUACUGGAUUAU